UCUGAUUUUGAGGUUACUGUUCAAUUAAGGACAAAAGAAAGGAAAUCUUGCAUAUUAGUCCCUCCAAGUUUGGAUAUUGCAAACAAGUCCCUUAGAAGCUGGUUUUCUUUGCACAAACAGGAAGAUACCCAGGAAGAAAGUGACCAGAGGAUUGAGCAACUUGUUGGAGAGAUCAAGGAGAAGUUCCGCGCGAUGAACGACGGCGAGACGAGCCCUUCGGCAUACGACACUGCAUGGGUGGCUCGUGUUCCGUCGGUCGACGGCGGCGCGGAUAAGCCUCAUUUCCCCAUGUGUGUGGAUUGGAUUCUCAGGAACCAAAUUGAGGAUGGCUCCUGGGGGGAGCCCAGCUUCUACUUGCUCUAUGAUAGGCUUGUGAACACUCUAGCUUGUGUUCUUGCACUUGAGACUUGGAAAAUAGGACAAGAUCAAAUAGAGAAAGGUAAAGAUUAUUAUCCAUGCAAGCAUCUUAAUCUUACUUAUACAAAAUGGACAACAAAUCUAGUUAAUAUUCUUGAGAAUGAUUAUUCAAGGGGUCUAAUAAUAUAGGUAACAAAAUUUGAGGGACUAAUGUGCAAUAUCCGAAGAUUCUAGGGACUGAUACGCAAAAAAAAAUCUACAUGCUUUUUCCGCGUAAACUUCAAAGGCUAGAUUACACUUUUGGUCCUCAUACUAUGAGGCACGUAAAAUUAUUGGUCCAUAAACUUUAAUUUGUUGCAAUUUCUAACUAAAACUUUGUAACUUGUUGUUAUUGAUGUUCCACUGAUGUGGAAGUGAUCUCUACAUCAUUUCUACAUUACUGACACAUCAAUACUUAACCAACUAAAUUGUGCUAUAAAAAUUAAUUGCAACAAUUUACAAAGUUUGAGCCAGAAAUUAAGUUUGAGGACCAAAGUGUCAGCCGAGUCAUAGGUUGAGGACCAAAAGUGUAAUUUAGCCAACUUCAAACAACAGUCAAAUGAUUUGAACAGUAUAAUCUACUUAGCAUUUACCUAAAGACAUAGUAUAAUAUUUCUCUUUGUAAAAUUGUAGAGCAAAUAUAUCAACAUAUGCCAAAAUUGAAAAAAAGGAAAAAAAAAAUGCAUUCCUUUUGAAGGGCAUUAACAAGAACCCUCUUAUUCUUUGUAUUUUGAUGAAUUUAGGACUUCAAUAUUUGCGCGAUAACGUCAAGUUUCUCGACGAGCAAAGCAGCAGCCUCAUCACAUGCGGGUUCGAGCUCGUGUUCCCCGCGAUGCUAAACGAAGCCAAAAUGCUCGGGCUCGAUCUCCCUUACAACCUGCCUUGUUUGCAGGACAUCGUCAAAUUCGCGGAAAAGAAAAUCAAAAGGUGAGAACACUAAACUGAUUCAUAUCGCGAAAAACGUAAAAACGCAGUUCAAACUACAGGCCGGUUUUCUGGAACAAUGUUCAUAAAUUUUAACUUUUCAGAUUUUCAGAAAAAAUGAUGUCAACUUCUGUCACAACAUUACAGAAUGUCGUAGUAAGUUUCAGAAUAUACGGCCAUGAAAUUCUGACGAUGUUUUUCAAUCAAACAGCAUGUUAGUUGAGGCAGUUGAAAUACAAAAGAUCAAGAAUUUUGUAUAUAUAUAUAUAGAGAGAGAGGUCGAAAACUGUAAAUAGUGAGCAAGAGUACUUUUCCUACAAUAACAACAAAUAAUUUCUACCAGGAUUCCGCUUGACGUGAUGCAUUCGGUGCACACGACGAUGCUCUACAAUUUAGAAGCACUUCAAGAGGUGGUGCAGUGGGAGAGAAUCCUUAAGCUGCAGUCACGAGACGGGAGCUUCCUGAGCUCUCCGGCGUCCAC
This 1801-nucleotide long non-coding RNA is filed under the name Ananas comosus (pineapple). RNAcentral's name for it is "long non-coding RNA (ACOM_LNC009503)". The record is from RNAcentral. Lineage: Eukaryota; Viridiplantae; Streptophyta; Magnoliopsida; Poales; Bromeliaceae.